Molecule: ribosomal RNA, 777 nt
Filed under: uncultured bacterium
Lineage: Bacteria
Description: bacterial SSU rRNA
Rfam family: Bacterial small subunit ribosomal RNA
Source: RNAcentral
UGCGCCGAUCGCCUUGAGUUGAUCAUGGCUCAGAACGAACGCUGGCGGCAGGCUUAACACAUGCAAGUCGAACGCAUCCUUCGGGAUGAGUGGCAGACGGGUGAGUAACGCGUGGGAACGUGCCCUUCAGUUCGGAAUAACCCAGGGAAACUUGGGCUAAUACCGGAUACGUGCGAGAGCAGAAAGAUUUAUCGCUGAAGGAUCGGCCCGCGUCUGAUUAGCUAGUUGGUGGGGUAAUGGCCCACCAAGGCGACGAUCAGUAGCUGGUCUGAGAGGAUGAUCAGCCACAUUGGGACUGAGACACGGCCCAAACUCCUACGGGAGGCAGCAGUGGGGAAUAUUGGACAAUGGGCGCAAGCCUGAUCCAGCCAUGCCGCGUGAGUGAUGAAGGCCUUAGGGUUGUAAAGCUCUUUCAGUGGGGACGAUAAUGACGGUACCCGCAGAAGAAGCCCCGGCUAACUUCGUGCCAGCAGCCGCGGUAAUACGAAGGGGGCUAGCGUUGUUCGGAAUCACUGGGCGUAAAGGGCGCGUAGGCGGCUUUGUAAGUCGGGGGUGAAAGCCUGUGGCUCAACCACAGAAUUGCCUUCGAUACUGCAUGGCUUGAGACCGGAAGAGGUUAGUGGAACUGCGAGUGUAGAGGUGAAAUUCGUAGAUAUUCGCAAGAACACCAGUGGCGAAGGCGGCUAACUGGUCCGGUUCUGACGCUGAGGCGCGAAAGCGUGGGGAGCAAACAGGAUUAGAUACCCUGGUAGUCCACGCCGUAAACGAUGAAUGCCA